RNAcentral lists this ribosomal RNA (445 nucleotides) under uncultured bacterium. RNAcentral's name for it is "partial 16S ribosomal RNA". It matches the Rfam family "Bacterial small subunit ribosomal RNA", at positions 354 to 796 of the family's 1533-position model. The record is from RNAcentral.
GUGAGGAAUAUUGGUCAAUGGACGGAAGUCUGAACCAGCCAUGCCGCGUGAAGGAUGAAGGCGUUCUGCGUUGUAAACUUCUUUUAUCAGAGAAGAAACCACUGAUUUCUAUUAGUGUUGACGGUAUCUGAUGAAUAAGCACCGGCUAACUCCGUGCCAGCAGCCGCGGUAAUACGGAGGGUGCAAGCGUUAUCCGGAUUUACUGGGUUUAAAGGGUGUGUAGGCGGGCUAUUAAGUCAGGGGUGAAAUCCCGGAGCUCAACCUCGGAACUGCCUUUGAUACUAUUAGUCUUGAAUUAUGUUGAGGUUGGCGGAAUAUAACAUGUAGCGGUGAAAUGCAUAGAUAUGUUAUAGAACACCGAUUGCGAAGGCAGCUGGCUAAACAUAUAUUGACGCUGAGGCACGAAAGCGUGGGUAGCGAACAGGAUUAGAAACCCUUGUAGUCC